Molecule: ribosomal RNA, 253 nt
Filed under: uncultured prokaryote
Description: partial 16S ribosomal RNA
Rfam family: Bacterial small subunit ribosomal RNA
Source: RNAcentral
GACAGAGGUGGCAAGCGUUGUUCGGAUUUACUGGGCGUAAAGCGUACGUAGGUGGUUAGAUAAGUCUAUUGUGAAAUCCCUUCGCUUAACGGAGGAACUGCAUUAGAUACUGCCUGACUAGAGGAUGGGAGAGGAGAGUGGAAUUCCCGGUGUAGCGGUGAAAUGCGUAGAUAUCGAGAGGAACACCAGUGGCGAAGGCGAGUCUCUGGACGACUCCUGACACUGAGGCACGAAAGCUAGGGGAGCAAACAGG